CCUUGGCCUUGACAUACUAAGAACUUUCCAGAGAUGGAUUGGUGCCUUCGGGAACUUAGAUACAGGUGCUGCAUGGCUGUCGUCAGCUCGUGUCGUGAGAUGUUGGGUUAAGUCCGCAACGAGCGCAACCCUUUUCCUAUUUGCCAGCGGGUAAUGCCGGGAACUUUAAGGAUACUGCCAGUGACAAACUGGAGGAAGGCGGGGACGACGUCAAGUCAUCAUGGCCCUUACGGCCAGGGCUACACACGUGCUACAAUGGUCGGUACAAAGGGUUGCUACCUCGCGAGAGGAUGCUAAUCUCAAAAAGCCGAUCGUAGUCCGGAUCGCAGUCUGCAACUCGACUGCGUGAAGUCGGAAUCGCUAGUAAUCGCGGAUCAGAAUGCCGCGGUGAAUACGUUCCCGGGCCUUGUACACACCGCCCGUCACACCAUGGGAGUUUGUUGCACCAGAAGUAGGUAGUCUAACCGCAAGGAGGACGCUUACCACGGUGUGGCCGAUGACUGGGGUGAAGUCGUAACAAGGUAAGCGUAGAUGA
RNAcentral lists this ribosomal RNA (535 nucleotides) under uncultured bacterium. RNAcentral describes it as "bacterial SSU rRNA". It matches the Rfam family "Bacterial small subunit ribosomal RNA", at positions 973 to 1509 of the family's 1533-position model. The record is from RNAcentral.